RNAcentral lists this small nucleolar RNA (107 nucleotides) under Gossypium hirsutum (cotton). Its description in RNAcentral is "Plant small nucleolar RNA R71". It matches the Rfam family "Plant small nucleolar RNA R71". From Rfam's summary of the family: R71 is a member of the C/D box family of snoRNAs containing the C (UGAUGA) and D (CUGA) box motifs. Multiple nearly identical copies of this snoRNA have been identified in Arabidopsis, and it is thought to function as a 2'-O-ribose methylation guide for 18S ribosomal RNA. Lineage: Eukaryota; Viridiplantae; Streptophyta; Magnoliopsida; Malvales; Malvaceae. The record is from Rfam by way of RNAcentral.
AUUCCGUGAUGAGAACACUUUUGUAAUAAUUCUUUGUACCUUUCCUAUGCCUAAUACAAGGACUCAUCAUCCAUUUGUUAGAAAGCAAUUAUCUCAUUCCUUAACGU